AUGCAACGUGAUACGUGACGAGUUUUGUAAACAAAUGUUGGUGUUUUGCUAGCCCUUAAAAGGUAUGCCGGUACAAGAGUCGUUUAAUUGAAGCUCCAGGAUGUUGUGUGAGGUCGUCCUGUCCUCACUUUGGUUCCUGUUUGUUAUCUUCUGGGUGGAGACGAUAAGUGUUUGGCUGUUUCUGUCAAUGUUCUACCAGGACCAGGCUUUUUACCACUGGGGAGAUGGGGUAUUUGCAGAUGAUCCUGGACAGAUGAUAUACAUGUUGAGCAGAGUUGAUACCAAUAUUCAGACGGAGAUGCAGACCUGAGAUGGAAAAAGAUCAAGAACUCCAUUUAAAGGACUCAAAAGAGGCUGGUGCAGUUUUUGACUGAAGAACAAAUGAUGGAAAGCAGUAGCAGUUUUUGCUUUGCAUUGACUGCCUUGCACACUGUUGUGCAUAGUCCUUGUUAACCGCAUUAAAUGUAGGCCCCCUUUUAAUAGUAGGUGGUGGAGAGUUGCUGCAUGAGUGAAGGUAGAGGGAGGUGUGCAUCAUACCCCCAUAUGUCAGAUUUAUAUUUUCACUUUAACGUUUUGGGGAAGCAGAAUGAAUGUAGCAGAAAAUGCUUGGUUUGUUUUGUCUUUCUAUUAACUCCAUUUUGAGAAAAUGGUAUUUUUAUAAUACUGCUCUUCUAUGCAACUACAGCUGUUGUCGUCUGCAGCUAUAAUCUGUGAUACGAUAGGUAUGUGAAUGUUAAUAACAAUUGUCAGAUAUGUUGGUGUAUGUUUGAUGCCACAACCAUCAAGAAAGAGCAAACUUAGCUUUUAAUAUUGGAGAUGAUGGAGCCAUGUACUUGAGUUUAGAAACAAGUCUGAACACAAUGGAAAGAAGAUUUAAGAGUUCACAAUUUGCUCAAGGAGUAAACAACCUGUCAGUAGGUUAACAUUUGAGCUUAAAGCCUGAUUAUAAACCUUGGCAUUACUUUGUCCGCUUAAACAACAUCUUGUUGCCUUUAUCUGUGGAUAGAUUUUGCUUAGUUGUCAUGUGUAUCUCGAUAUAUUACCACUUAUUACAUGACUGAAAUUUCAUACUGAGGUUACAUGGUAACAUUUCUUUGGCAACUGCAAAAGCUCCAUCUGCUGUUGAAGAUCCAAUAUAUUUAAUAUAUUUUUUUCAAAAAGGAGCAACAUAUUCUGUAUACAUUAUUUGUCAAAUGCAAUAUGCCAAAACUAUCCAGAUGUACGACUACAUCUGUUCACAUUUUGCAGUAUGCAAGCCAGCAUGCUUCUCUGACAAGUUUACCCUCAAAACCCACACUCUGCGCAGCGGAUAUAAGCAAUAGGGUCAAAGUCAAGGUGCAAUAUUAUGACAAAGUAUUCUGUCCCAAUUCAAUGCAUACUGCAUGCAACAGUACUUUGUAAUGGCAGCUGCAAUGUACUAAAAGUAAAAAAUAAAAAGUGUGUGAUUUGUAACACAGCCCUGAUUUGUGUAUCUAAAGACAGGAAGCUAGUGGUGGGGGGAGUAUGCCCCAUUUUAGGAAUCCUCUCUUAAAGCAAUAUGUCAGUAUAAUAUCUAGUUAAUCAAAUAAAAGUGAAAUUAUACAUUUUAAAUACACAACUCUUUGCAAGCGUUUGAGAUUAUUGAUCUGCCGUGGUAUUUUUGAAUUCCUUCUCUGUCGACUAGAGGUUUGCUUUUGAACAAAAAAAAAACAGCAGAUAGUUUUGGUCUCAUUUUGAGAGAAAAAAAAGUGUCAACAUUGUUUUGUAAUA
Long non-coding RNA from Anoplopoma fimbria (sablefish), 1749 nucleotides. RefSeq lists it as uncharacterized. Lineage: Eukaryota; Metazoa; Chordata; Actinopteri; Perciformes; Anoplopomatidae. The transcript is spliced from 4 exons. The record is from RefSeq and is a predicted model, not a curated record.